RNAcentral lists this small RNA (759 nucleotides) under Rattus norvegicus (Norway rat). RNAcentral describes it as "uncharacterized LOC102550295". Lineage: Eukaryota; Metazoa; Chordata; Mammalia; Rodentia; Muridae. The record is from RNAcentral.
UUGGACCAGACAAUAUGAAGUCACAAAGACUCUCACAGACCAAGAUAUUUUCUAAAUGUUUUUCUUUCAAAUUAGUCAAAUGAUACUCUAUUGAAGCACAACUAAUCAAUUUAUAGUUAAAACGUGGGGCUCAUAUAACAGAUGAAAACUUUUGUAAACUUAUAAUUUUGAGCAACGGAGAACUUGAAAUCAACAAAGAAAUGAGGGAGCCAUUCUGCUAAAAGACCUACUUCUUCAGGAGAAAUAAUUACAUUUAACAAAGGACAAUGACUAAUGCUAUUACUAUGAAUAUCUUUCAAGAUUGACAACUAGAAAAUCAUGGCAGAUAGAUUUGUAAACAUUAUCGCUUUGCACUGUGGGAAGCUUGCAAUUUGAUGCCUGAAGCAGCAGAAGCAAAGGAAUACAAGAUGAUACAUUAUUUAUUCUGAUAUUCAGUGGUCAUUUCCAUUUUCGUCACAAGUAUUAAUUUAAUGAGGUCACAUUACUAUGCUGCCCACCAACUCUGACAUGAGGGAACUGGAAUAUGAAAUAUUUUUAUUCUAUUCUGCUUCGUGACACCUUCUUGGGAGAUGUGAAGAAGUGUCCAUUCAUGGCAAUCAGAAAGACAUGGAUACUGCAAUGAAAGGAUAUAGAAAAACUUCCAUGAAGAUCCCUAACUCAAACAUCUAUUGCUUACAAAUCUUACAGGCAAAGUAAGACCAACAGUUUAAGUUAUGUCUAUUAUCUUGUUUAAAGCUUAAUAAAUCUUAAAUCAACAUU